This 22-nucleotide microRNA is filed under the name Ananas comosus (pineapple). RNAcentral's name for it is "microRNA s0392_c42a". The record is from RNAcentral. Lineage: Eukaryota; Viridiplantae; Streptophyta; Magnoliopsida; Poales; Bromeliaceae.
CCUAUGAGUUCCAGUAUCGAUC